CACAACCCAUCUAGUGUUAAGUGGUAUGGACCUCACAACGUGAAUGCCGCCCCCAUUUUUAGAAACGAGGUCUGAGUUUCAACUGUAUACCAAAACGGCUGCCCCAUUCUUCAAAUUGCAACGCAUUUCUGCUUCGCGGUAGAAAUGGGCGGAAUGGUGGUCUUGCGGGUUAAUCAAACGCCCUACCACCAACGAUUUCAGAAUAUUUGCUAAUUUGAUUUUAAAUAAAAGAUGAAUGAAUCCUUAAUCAUGGAAGUCUUCCAUGUAUAUAUGUCAAAUACGUGUUUCAUUGGAUUUAUUGAUAUCUGCCUGCGGGAUUCUAGCACUGGUUCAGUAAGAUUUCAAAUUAAAUAGUAAAUUCUAGAAUAAAUGAGUUAGUUUUGUGGUUUUAUCAAUAAUAAAGUGUACAACAGAUCCAUCUUACGCCGACAUGAGGCCGACAACGCUAGAACAACCAGUCGAUGAUAUUCUAGGCGAGAUGCUGCUAUUAUUUAUCAAGUAAUAGAUAGUGGAUUUGUUUGACUUGGCAAGAGUAGGCUUUGAUUUGAAUACCAGAAAUAUAGUGCAGUCUUUCACAGCUUGAAGGGAAAUAAAAGCUGUGCAGACUAUUCAUAAUAAUGUUCACCCAAGGUCAUGGGCAAUAUGACGUGAAUAGGAAACUGCAUGUCAGACAUUAACUUAAUGUUCUAUAUUAUUUUUAAACAAAUGAAUCUAAUAUUUUAAGACAAUAAAUAAAUAUUUAUUUUUAUAAUUAGCCCAGUUUUUCGUCGACAAAGCCAUCUUAAGAGAAGCUUCAUUGCAAAUAUCAGGCCGAUAUUUAACUAUAGCGGACAACAAACAAGAGUGGACACAUCGUGAGCUGUAGUUGUAGAAAGAGGAGAAAAUGGAAACUAAGGCGAACCACUGGCUCAUGCAGCUUUCAUUUCAGCAGAGGCUGCUCGUACGCAGGCAGAGGCCGCGCAUCUUCCAGCUGAGAUAUAUAAAAAAAUUCAAGGAAUUGACCAAUAUCGGCAAAAACCUUGUUUAAAAUAAUAA
Molecule: long non-coding RNA, 1035 nt
Organism: Bombyx mori (domestic silkworm)
Lineage: Eukaryota; Metazoa; Arthropoda; Insecta; Lepidoptera; Bombycidae
Exons: 2
Source: RefSeq, a predicted model, not a curated record